CUUUUCACCUUGGGAAGGAGGUCUCUUUACUUUUUAUUUGAAAAGGAAUUGUUUUUAUUGUUUUCCUAAAGCUGGAGAGUGAAGGAAGCCAUCCUUGAGGAGUCAAGAUAAACUUCGGAUGUAAGUUCUGCCGUUUGUAGUGGCCUGGGCUCCCUCUGGGUGGAAUGUUUCACCAGGCAUUGUGAGAAGAGGAGAGCGGGAUUCUGACCCAGGCGCUGCUGCUGGAGGCUCUGUGACACCCGCACAUCAUCACUUAACAUGCAAGGGCUGUCCAUGGUCACUGUCUCUUUACAGUCUGAACGGUCACUGGGUCACAGAAUUCCACCGGGAACGGGAAGAGCCUCUGGAGCAGCGCCCACAGUCCUGCCUUCUGUGCUUGGGAGUUUUCAAAGUGAGUUCUGGGAAAUGUUAGGCCAUGUAUAAAAGAAGAGGUGGUCUUAAGAAAGGCCAUGGUACCCGUGGCUGGAGGUCCUGGACACAGCCUCUCCCUCAUCUCAUCCAUGGAGAAAGUUCCCUAUAUUAGUUUGUUCUCACAUUGCUAUAAAGAACUACCCAA
This 556-nucleotide long non-coding RNA is filed under the name Homo sapiens (human). Its description in RNAcentral is "HSALNT0344742". The record is from RNAcentral. Lineage: Eukaryota; Metazoa; Chordata; Mammalia; Primates; Hominidae.